Molecule: long non-coding RNA, 666 nt
Organism: Antechinus flavipes (yellow-footed antechinus)
Lineage: Eukaryota; Metazoa; Chordata; Mammalia; Dasyuromorphia; Dasyuridae
Exons: 4
Source: RefSeq, a predicted model, not a curated record
CCCUGAGUCUAGGCUUUCAGUUCCGGGGCAGAGGGCAGGACUGAGGUUCGCAGCCUCCUGAGGGCCCCAAAGGAGCAAGAGGAACAAAAAGGUUUGCCAUAAUUGUGGUACUUCCGGCUGGGUUGGGGCACGGAAUACCUGGGGUCACUUUUAGGAGGAGGAGUAAACCUGAAGAGCGCCUGGCCUUGGAAUAGAGAACACUGGAAGAGCCAGGGGGUCAAAGGCUCCCAGGUAGAGUUCAGAAAGCAACGGCACGAGAAACCCGAAGGCUGAGCCGUUGUCUCCCACGCCCCAGCAGCAGAGCCCAACUCCACCAUAAAGGUAUUCCUGAGGAAAGGACCGGAAGUGAGCAGAAAAUUUGACUUAGAAGAACCAGGAGAAAUAUACACAGGCGAUUGACUUUCAAGAAAGAGUCUGGAAAUGGCAACAAGAAGCAAGGAGACUUCUGACCUUCACUCCAUAACUAAAGUGAGGAGAUUGGACUCACUCUUCUCCUAGAUCCGUUCUACCUCUGAAUCUUUGGUCUUGUGAACUACCUUGUGGAUCGAAUGGACAAAAUGGGUGAACUCUUAGAAAAACAAGUUUGUAACAAAGGAACAAAAUACAAGCAUGUUUAAAGACUCCCACAGUCUCUCUUUGACUUGUAUUUCCUUAUUUCAUGGUAUU